AGUACAUACUAAUCUUUCCAAUGGGGACCAUACAAGCACCACAUUAUGCCAAAACAACGGCAUGCAAUUACCUCUGAUCGAUGAAUUCGGCCAAGGUCUUCCACAGUUUCCAACAUUGUGUGAAGAUGAUCUGCAAAGCAUUGUUCAGAUGGGGUUUGGUCAAGAACCCAAACCACAAUACAGGAUUUCAAUCAUCCCACAUGAAAAUUGAACUGUGGUCACCAUUGAUUUGUCCUCAACUCAAGGCCCAGAGGCUGCUGUAUAUUAAUGGAUUUUUUUUUACGAGAAAUGUUAAAAAAAAAUCUUGAUGCUU
Camellia sinensis is the source of this 313-nucleotide long non-coding RNA. RefSeq lists it as uncharacterized. Lineage: Eukaryota; Viridiplantae; Streptophyta; Magnoliopsida; Ericales; Theaceae. The record is from RefSeq and is a predicted model, not a curated record.